UACGGAGGGUGCAAGCGUUAUCCGGAUUCACUGGGUUUAAAGGGAGCGCAGGCGGGCUGGUAAGUCAGUGGUGAAAGCCUUGAGCUUAACUCGAGAACUGCCAUUGAUACUAUCAGUCUUGAAUAUUGUUGAGGUUUGCGGAAUGGGUCAUGUAGCGGUGAAAUGCAUAGAUAUGACCCGGAACACCUAUUGCGAAGGCAGCUCGCUGGGACGUAACUGACGCUGAGACGCGAAAGCGUGGGGAGCAAACAGG
RNAcentral lists this ribosomal RNA (253 nucleotides) under uncultured bacterium. RNAcentral's name for it is "partial 16S ribosomal RNA". It matches the Rfam family "Bacterial small subunit ribosomal RNA", at positions 524 to 776 of the family's 1533-position model. The record is from RNAcentral.